Molecule: ribosomal RNA, 164 nt
Filed under: uncultured bacterium
Lineage: Bacteria
Description: partial 16S rRNA
Rfam family: Bacterial small subunit ribosomal RNA
Source: RNAcentral
UAGGGAAUCUUCCACAAUGGACGCAAGUCUGAUGGAGCAACGCCGCGUGAGUGAAGAAGGGUUUCGGCUCGUAAAGCUCUGUUGUUAAAGAAGAACGUGGGUAAGAGUAACUGUUUACCCUGUGACGGUAUUUAACCAGAAAGCCACGGCUAACUACGUGCCAG